UAGCUUUGUCUCCCCACCUCCCAACU
This 26-nucleotide non-coding RNA is filed under the name Rattus norvegicus (Norway rat). The record is from RNAcentral. Lineage: Eukaryota; Metazoa; Chordata; Mammalia; Rodentia; Muridae.